This 70-nucleotide transfer RNA is filed under the name Camelus bactrianus (Bactrian camel). It matches the Rfam family "tRNA". From Rfam's summary of the family: Transfer RNA (tRNA) molecules are approximately 80 nucleotides in length. Their secondary structure includes four short double-helical elements and three loops (D, anti-codon, and T loops). Lineage: Eukaryota; Metazoa; Chordata; Mammalia; Artiodactyla; Camelidae. The record is from Rfam by way of RNAcentral. RNAcentral also lists the same sequence under 2 other names.
GGGUAUAGCUCAGUGGUAGAACGCAUGCUUAGCAUGCACGAGGUCCUGGGUUCAAUCCCCAGUACUUCCA